RNAcentral lists this ribosomal RNA (616 nucleotides) under uncultured Thermoplasmatales archaeon. Its description in RNAcentral is "partial 16S ribosomal RNA". It matches the Rfam family "Archaeal small subunit ribosomal RNA", at positions 343 to 976 of the family's 1478-position model. Lineage: Archaea; Methanobacteriati; Thermoplasmatota; Thermoplasmata; Thermoplasmatales. The record is from RNAcentral.
GAAAACAUCUGCGCAAUCGCGCGCAACGCGCGACGACCGGGAUCCAAGUGCAUGCACUAAAGAAAAAAGGUUUUAAAGUUUAAAACGCUUUUAGAGCAAGGGGGGGGUAAGACUGGUGCCAGCCGCCGCGGUAAUACCAGCGGCCCUAGUGGUGAUCGUUAUUUUUGGGCCUAAAGCGUCCGUAGCCGGUUCGGUAAAUCUCUGGGUAAAUCGAUGGGCUUAACUCAUCGAAUUCUGGGGAGACUGCUGGACUUGGGACCGGGAAAGGUCGGAGGUACUCCAGGGGUAGGGGGAAACCUGUAACCCUGGGGGGACCACCGGUGGGGAAGGCGUCCGACCAAAAAGGGUCCGACGGUAGGGACAAACCCUGGGGCGCAAACCGGAUAAAAACCCGGGUAGUCCGGGUGUAAACGCUGCGCGCUUGGGGUUGGGGGUCUUACGUGGGCACCCAGUGCCGGAGAAAAGUUGUUAAGCGCCCCCCCUGGAAAGUACGGUCGCAAGACUGAAACUUAAAGGAUUUGGGGGGGGAAAGGGCAAUUCUUUAAACCUGCGGACUAGUCCUUUAGGGAGGGUUAUUUCUGAGCUUGGGGAAAUCAUGGCAAAGUUGUUUCUGGAA